CUAGACCUGAAAUCAGUCGAGGACACCCGCUGAAUUUAAGCAUAUUAUUAAGCGGAGGAAAAGAAAAUAACUAUGAUUCCCUUAGUAACGGCGAGUGAAGAGGGAGGUGCUCAAAGUGAAAAUCGUGGUACCUCUUAUGGUACCGCGAGUUGUAGCCUCUAGAGGCGUUACCAGUGGAGGGGCAGGUCUAAGUUUCUUGGAACAGAACUUCAGAGAGGGUGACAGUCCCGUUUAUUGUCCUGCUCGUUAUGCUUCCACGCACGGUGCGCUUUUAUUGAGUCGCGU
Molecule: ribosomal RNA, 285 nt
Filed under: Eimeria ellipsoidalis
Lineage: Eukaryota; Apicomplexa; Conoidasida; Eucoccidiorida; Eimeriidae
Description: partial 28S rRNA
Rfam family: Eukaryotic large subunit ribosomal RNA
Source: RNAcentral